GACGAACGCUGGCGGCGUGCUUAACACAUGCAAGUCGAACGAAAAGGCCCCUUUGGGGGUCCUCGAGUGGCGAACGGGUGCGUAACACGUGAGUAACCUGCCCUUGACUUCGGGAUAACUUCAGGAAACUGGGGCUAAUACCGGAAAGGGAUCCUUGCUGCAUGGUGGGGGUUGGAUAGCUUCGGCGGGUUUGGCUGGCCUCGCGGGAUAUCCGCUUGCUGGUGGGGUAGUGGCUUACCAAGGCGUUGACGGGUAGCCGGCCUGCGAGGGCGACCGGCCACACUGGGACUGAGAUACGGCCCAGACUCCUACGGUAGGCAGCAGUGGGGAAUAUUGCACAAUGGGCGGCAGCCUGAUGCAGCAACUCCGCGUGCGGGAUGACGGCCUUCGGGUUGUAAACCGCUUUCAUCAGGGGCGAAGCUUGUGGUGACGGUACCUGCAGAAGAAGCACCGGCUAACUACGUG
This 465-nucleotide ribosomal RNA is filed under the name uncultured bacterium. RNAcentral describes it as "partial 16S ribosomal RNA". It matches the Rfam family "Bacterial small subunit ribosomal RNA", at positions 28 to 507 of the family's 1533-position model. The record is from RNAcentral.